AGGGCGAACGCUGGCGGCGUGCUUAACACAUGCAAGUCGAGCGGAAAGGCCCUUCGGGGUACUCGAGCGGCGAACGGGUGAGUAACACGUGAGUAAUCUGCCCCUAGCUCUGGGAUAGCUCCGGGAAACCGGGAUUAAUACCGGAUACGACCACCUUAGACAUCUUUUGUGGUGGAAAGAAUUUCGGCUAGGGAUGAGCUCGCGGCCUAUCAGCUUGUUGGUGGGGUAACGGCCUACCAAGGCGACGAC
RNAcentral lists this ribosomal RNA (249 nucleotides) under uncultured bacterium. RNAcentral's name for it is "partial small subunit ribosomal RNA". It matches the Rfam family "Bacterial small subunit ribosomal RNA", at positions 26 to 280 of the family's 1533-position model. The record is from RNAcentral.